UUGCGACGAUGAAACUUCAGUUUAUUGAGGACAUUCAUUGAGUGUUUGAUGAUACUUUGGCAUUCAUGUCGAACCUGAGCGGUUAACUGACCAA
Small nucleolar RNA from Cicer arietinum (chickpea), 94 nucleotides. RefSeq annotates it as small nucleolar RNA snoR128. The record is from RefSeq and is a predicted model, not a curated record. NCBI's taxonomy places the organism in Eukaryota, Viridiplantae, Streptophyta, Magnoliopsida, Fabales, Fabaceae.